UACGUAGGGAGCAAGCGUUGUCCGGAAUCAUUGGGCGUAAAGCGCGCGUAGGUGGCCUCAUAAGUCCGCUGUGAAAGUCAAAGGCUCAACCUUUGAAAGCCGGUGGAUACUGUGAGGCUAGAGUACGGAAGAGGCGAGUGGAAUUCCUGGUGUAGCGGUGGAAUGCGCAGAUAUCAGGAGGAACACCAAUCGCGAAGGCAGCUCGCUGGGACGUUACUGACACUGAGGCGCGAAAGCGUGGGGAGCGAACAGG
This 253-nucleotide ribosomal RNA is filed under the name uncultured bacterium. RNAcentral describes it as "partial 16S ribosomal RNA". It matches the Rfam family "Bacterial small subunit ribosomal RNA", at positions 524 to 776 of the family's 1533-position model. The record is from RNAcentral.